Molecule: ribosomal RNA, 494 nt
Filed under: uncultured bacterium
Lineage: Bacteria
Description: partial 16S ribosomal RNA
Rfam family: Bacterial small subunit ribosomal RNA
Source: RNAcentral
GACGAACGCUGGCGGCGUGCUUAACACAUGCAAGUCGAACGGAAAGGCCUGCUUUCCCUUGUGGAUUGCGGGUACUCGAGUGGCGAACGGGUGAGUAACACGUGAGUGAUCUGCCCCCGACUUGGGUAUAAGCCUGGGAAACUGGGUCUAAUUCCCGAUAGGACUGCAGGGUGGUGCCUGUGGUGGAAAACGAUUUUCUAGUGGUUGGGGAUGAGCUCGCGGCCUAUCAGCUUGUUGGUGGGGUAAUGGCCUACCAAGGCGGCGACGGGUAGCCGGCCUGAGAGGGUGGACGGCCACAUUGGGACUGAGAUACGGCCCAGACUCCUACGGGAGGCAGCAGUGGGGGAUAUUGCACAAUGGGCGGAAGCCUGAUGCAGCGACGCCGCGUGGGGGAUGACGGCCUUCGGGUUGUAAACUCCUUUCGACCGCGAGGAAGCCACCUGGUUGGAAGGGUGGUGACGGUAGUGGUAGAAGAAGCACCGGCUAACUACGUG